CAGUGCUAUCAAACAAAUGGGAUUCCUGUUUGCCAACAGAUUUUUUAGAAAUUCACUUGCCAGUGACUACAUAAUGCUAGCCUGGAGAAAUGUUUCUGUGGAUUAUGUGGCAAGAACAUUGUGAAUGAUAUCUGUGCUAUUUGCCAGUGGCUACUUUUUAUUGUUGAAAGUAUUAGUGUGAUUUUCAGUCUUUGGCAAUCCCUUUGUGCUGGAUUUUGUAUUAACCCCUCAUUAAGCAUCCAGUUCCAGUUAUGGGCACUGACUCAUACCUGUAGAAACACCUUCCACUGGUACUUCAUGUGCUCAGCGAGGCAAUGGACUGCAAAAAAAACUCACAAUCAUCAAUCAAAAAGAUUUUACAGACUUGCUCCUGACUUUCAUUAACCCUGCAUCUUCAGAGCUGAGAAUGCAACUCUGUAGCUCAGGGCUGAAAGUUUGGAUCAGAUCUUUUGACCUGAUCAAACAAGAAGUUGAAAGUUUCAAGGAAAAGUGCAUGAGAAGUAGUGUACCGAGAUGCCAAGAAACAUGUAAAGACAAUCUGCUUUGUAACCUCCUGUGCGGCAGUUCCUCCUAGCACCUGCCUGUGACUGGUCAGCUGGCAGUGAGCAAAGAGGGUAAAAAUGAGGCUCCUUUCCACAGCUACUGUCAGCCCCUUGUGCUCUGAGCUGAGCUGUCAUGGAUGGCUGAACUGAAAUGAUCCCAAAAUGCAGGAUUUCUGCUUUUAAAUAAAAGCCAACUGACCUUUGAUUUUUUGAAGACC
RNAcentral lists this long non-coding RNA (760 nucleotides) under Anas platyrhynchos platyrhynchos (common mallard). RNAcentral's name for it is "lncRNA (ENSAPLG00000018107.1)". Lineage: Eukaryota; Metazoa; Chordata; Aves; Anseriformes; Anatidae. The record is from RNAcentral.